CCCCCACCAAAAUCCCGGUGCCUCCGUCUCUCCGUGGAGCCAUCGCCGCCGUUGAUCCCGUGGCCAACACCGCUUGUUUUCCCUCGUGCUCGCGGGGACCGGCCGAUGUUGUCGUCGUCGCCUGCCCAUUGAGUUUGCAAAGCUAACCAGCGCCAUUGCCACCCCAUGGAUCCAGUGAUGAGUGCCUGAUUUUUCCGCUUGUAUCGACCUCGUCGAGCCAACUAGUGCUGCUGGAUUUAAUUUUUUUUGUACUUUGCUUGAUUCACUCUGGCUUAGAUUUGUGUACUUUGCUUGCUUCACUCUGGUUUAGAUCCGUUUUGGGGGAUUUUUUUUCUGAAGAGGUGAAUGAAUUGCCUCUCCACAAAAUUAAUCUGUUGAUUUGUUUAGGUUUGAUCUCACACAAUGUGCUGUGGUUUGGGAUUGGACAGAGGAGGAAGUAUAGGUGUGCGAAGAGUUUAUUGCUGGUAGGUUUUGGUUGUGUGAACAUGAACCACUUGAAAGUUUGUGAAGAAGGUUUUUUUUCUGGGAUGUGAAAGUGACACAUACGAAAGAGUACUAGUUGGGCAUGUGUUUGAUUUGCUUUGCUUCUAGCUAGGCUCCUGGAUCUAUAUGAUCAUGUGCAAUCAUACAGGCCAAUAUCCUUUGUGCCAAUUCUCUAGAGAAAUCGGUCUGCAGUAGCAAGAGAUACAAGAGAGGCUUCGGCCCCAUUAACAUUUUUGGCAACAAGUGGAUUGCCCUAGUCCAGUUUGAUGGCUUAGAUGAUUCAGAGUAAGAAGAGUUGAAGAAAUCUAGUUUUCACAAGGAGAGGUACCAGUGUCUCCCAAUGAACCAUGGCUCUUUCGUGAGAUUGAGCUAUACUCUGAAUAUGCCAUUUAUCUGUGUAAUUCAGGUUACACUCUUCAAUUUUGUGUUGGUUUUGGUUACAUACUUGAUUUUCAGCAAACUGGACAUGGAAAAUUCAGUGUUGCGUUCAAAGUUCUGAAGAGGACGGAUGGCUGCUUAUAUUGUGUAAAAAUGUAUCAGGCAACUGCAUAAUGACAGGGAAAGCUAGUCUUGCAGCAGUCGUUCAAAGUUCUGAAUGUGCAUGAAUUGUGGAAAGCAUGUGUACUUUGGGUGAGUGUUUGUCAUGUGAAAGUAUCUCAAUUACAUGGCAUGCUGAUGCUUAAUUAAAUAAUUGAUUAUGCAUCAGAAUUUGAUCAUGCAUGCGUUGUGUGCUUGUUUCUCUGUGGAUUCUUAUGGCACAAGCUGCUGCAAGAUUAGCACUUUAAAUAACAGAAUUCUGCACAUUAUUUUUGU
Oryza brachyantha (malo sina) is the source of this 1296-nucleotide long non-coding RNA. RefSeq lists it as uncharacterized. The record is from RefSeq and is a predicted model, not a curated record. Lineage: Eukaryota; Viridiplantae; Streptophyta; Magnoliopsida; Poales; Poaceae. The transcript has 5 exons.